This 358-nucleotide unclassified non-coding RNA is filed under the name soil metagenome. RNAcentral describes it as "partial contains 5.8S ribosomal RNA, internal transcribed spacer 2, and large subunit ribosomal RNA". The stretch from base 1 to 120 matches the Rfam family "5.8S ribosomal RNA", at positions 35 to 154 of the family's 154-position model. The record is from RNAcentral.
GAUGAAGAACGCAGCGAAAUGCGAUAAGUAAUGUGAAUUGCAGAAUUCAGUGAAUCAUCGAAUCUUUGAACGCACAUUGCGCCCGUCAGUAUUCUGGCGGGCAUGCCUGUUCGAGCGUCAUUACGCCCCUCAAGUCCCCUGUGGACUUGGUGUUGGGGAUCGGCGAGGCUGGUUUUCCAGCACAGCCGUCCCUUAAAUUAAUUGGCGGUCUCGCCGUGGCCCUCCUCUGCGCAGUAGUAAAACACUCGCAACAGGAGCCCGGCGCGGUCCACUGCCGUAAAACCCCCCAACUUUUUAUAGUUGACCUCGAAUCAGGUAGGACUACCCGCUGAACUUAAGCAUAUCAAUAAGAGGAGGA